Molecule: non-coding RNA, 31 nt
Filed under: Rattus norvegicus (Norway rat)
Lineage: Eukaryota; Metazoa; Chordata; Mammalia; Rodentia; Muridae
Source: RNAcentral
UUCCUAGCAUCAGUAGAUACCUAUAUGGAUU